This 355-nucleotide ribosomal RNA is filed under the name uncultured Anoxybacillus sp. Its description in RNAcentral is "bacterial SSU rRNA". It matches the Rfam family "Bacterial small subunit ribosomal RNA", at positions 1027 to 1382 of the family's 1533-position model. The record is from RNAcentral. Lineage: Bacteria; Bacillati; Bacillota; Bacilli; Caryophanales; Anoxybacillaceae.
GAGGGUGACAGGUGGUGCAUGGUUGUCGUCAGCUCGUGUCGUGAGAUGUUGGGUUAAGUCCCGCAACAAGCGCAACCCUCGACCUUAGUUGCCAGCAUUCAGUUGGGCACUCUAAGGUGGACUGCCGGCUAAAAGUCAGAGGAAGGUGGGGAUGACGUCAAAUCAUCAUGCCCCUUAUGACCUGGGCUACACACGUGCUACAAUGGGCGGUACAAAGGGUCGCGAACCCGCGAGGGGGAGCCAAUCCCAAAAAGCCGCUCUCAGUUCGGAUUGCAGGCUGCAACUCGCCUGCAUGAAGCCGGAAUCGCUAGUAAUCGCGGAUCAGCAUGCCGCGGUGAAUACGUUCCCGGGCCUU